Molecule: ribosomal RNA, 721 nt
Filed under: uncultured bacterium
Lineage: Bacteria
Description: bacterial SSU rRNA
Rfam family: Bacterial small subunit ribosomal RNA
Source: RNAcentral
GCAACCUGCCUUCGACUACGGGAUAACACUUAGAAAUAGGUGCUAAUACCGUAUAAGACCACACUCGGGCAUCCGAGAGGGGUAAAAGAUUUAUCGGUCGAAGAUGGGCUCGCGUCCCAUUAGCUAGUUGGUGAGGUAACGGCUCACCAAGGCUACGAUGGGUAGCCGACCUGAGAGGGUGAUCGGCCACAUUGGAACUGAGAUACGGUCCAAACUCCUACGGGAGGCAGCAGUGGGGAAUAUUGGGCAAUGGAGGCAACUCUGACCCAGCAACGCCGCGUGAGCGAUGAAGGUCUUCGGAUUGUAAAGCUCUGUCGCAGGGGACGAAGUAUGACGGUACCCUGUAAGAAAGCCCCGGCAAACUACGUGCCAGCAGCCGCGGUAAUACGUAGGGGGCUAGCGUUGUCCGGAAUUACUGGGCGUAAAGGGAGUGUAGACGGCUUGUCAAGUUAAGUGUGAAAGCCCGCGGCUUAACCGUGGAAUUGCACUUAAAACUGGCUCGCUAGAGUGCAGGAGAGGUGAGCGGAAUUCCUAGUGUAGCGGUGGAAUGCGUAGAUAUUAGGAGGAACACCAGAGGCGAAGGCGGCUCACUGGACUGUAACUGACGUUGAGGCUCGAAAGCGUGGGUAGCAAACAGGAUUAGAUAUCCUGGUAGUCCACGCCCUAAACGAUGGAUACUAGACGACGGCAGCUUGUCUGUCGGUGUCGUAGCUAACGCAUU